GUGGUGGUGGUGGUGAGGGACGCAGUGGUGGUGAUGCUGAGGUUGUGGUGAUGGUAGUGAUGGUGAUAAUGGUGUUGACAGAGGUGGGGAGGGUGGAUGGUGGUGAAAAAGAAGUAUAGCACUGGUGGUGAAGGUGGAAAUGGAGGUGGUGUUGAAGGGCAGGGGCAGGCAGGGUCGCGGUGGUGGUGGUGGUGGUGCAAAGGAUGGUGGUGUUGAAGGGCAGGCAGGGGCAGGGUCGCGGUGGUGGUGGUGGUGGUGGAGGUGGUGGUGGUGAUGAUGGCGGUGGUGAACUUGACAAGAAAAAACAAAUAAACAAACAAAAAAACAUUUCUACUGUACGAACGUAAACGCUCCGCUAUACACUCACCUACGAAAAGGGAACCACACCAACGAACGAACGAACGAACGAACGCGAGAACGGCCGAACGAAACUCCAAAGUGUGUGUGUUCGUGAAUUUGUGCAGACGCUUGCUUUGGGGGGUGGGGGGGAGGUGCUGGGGGGUGCUGGGGGGGGUGAGGGAGGGGGUGCUCUGAGGGGGUGUGGGGGUGCAGGGGGGCGUGUGGAGUACCAAAGGGGGGGAGGUGCGUGAGCGGGUUAAGUGAGGGGGGUUGAGGGGGGGUGGGGGGCUAUUUACAUAAUAUAUGUGGGGGGCGUACAGUUCUCUCUCUCUCUCUCUCUCUCUCUCUCUCUCUCUCUCUCUCUCUCUCUCUCUC
Molecule: long non-coding RNA, 714 nt
Organism: Eriocheir sinensis (Chinese mitten crab)
Lineage: Eukaryota; Metazoa; Arthropoda; Malacostraca; Decapoda; Varunidae
Exons: 2
Source: RefSeq, a predicted model, not a curated record